CCGACUUUUUGAAUUUUGGUGCACAACUUCAAACCUCAAUUCUAGGGAUACGAGCCAUAGAUCGGAACACUGUAAACGAUCCAUCAGAAAGUCUGGAAAAACUCAGAACACAGAUCAGACACUCGAAUCUUGCAAUUUGCAAAAGUCCAGUGUGUCACAGCGCGAGUGCAGUAACACUCAAGCUCUAUUCAUUUAAUUUCGGGUUGAGUACUGAGCCGAACACAAGUAGGCUCGCUCAUCUACCGGUCCUAAUCAACAGUCCUAUUUAUGAAAAAAAUAAUAAUAAAAUCCAUCUCUUUUUUUCUGAUAAAAAUAAAAAUCUUAACUAUAAUUCUUUCCCAAGAU
This 345-nucleotide long non-coding RNA is filed under the name Ananas comosus (pineapple). RNAcentral's name for it is "long non-coding RNA (ACOM_LNC028787)". Lineage: Eukaryota; Viridiplantae; Streptophyta; Magnoliopsida; Poales; Bromeliaceae. The record is from RNAcentral.